GCAGUGCAAUUGGUUAAGCACGCGCCCUCGGAAAGGGUGAAAUGCGGGCUCGAGUCCCGCCUGAGGUU
Non-coding RNA from Parelaphostrongylus tenuis, 68 nucleotides. Lineage: Eukaryota; Metazoa; Nematoda; Chromadorea; Rhabditida; Metastrongylidae. The record is from the annotation of a GenBank genome assembly.